RNAcentral lists this long non-coding RNA (5005 nucleotides) under Triticum aestivum (bread wheat). RNAcentral describes it as "long non-coding RNA (TAES_LNC024346)". Lineage: Eukaryota; Viridiplantae; Streptophyta; Magnoliopsida; Poales; Poaceae. The record is from RNAcentral.
UAGAACUCUCUCUCCUUCCCCCCGUACGAUCCCCACCAGGCUCCUCCUGCACAUCCGCCAUUUCUUCCGAUUUGCCGCCGGCGAAGGACGACGUCGCCGUGCCUCAUCAGGAAACUAAUCCUCAUGCUAUCCCAGAUCCACAUGUCGCUUCCUUUCUCCUGAUUUUUCUUCCUUGGUGGUGGCACAUGUGGCAGGGUGAGUGCGUGGAUCUCGGCGACCUCGUCGAGUCUGGCAACGCGGUCACGGAGAUGUCCAGGGAGAACGUGGGCUACGCUGCUCAAACUUAUCGUAGCCGGAGGCUCUGGAUGUUGGGGCUGCGGAGGCAUUGAGGGAGCUCGCGGAGGAAAAAAUAUCAGCAAGAUGUGAGUAUUUUCUGCGAGUGGAUUUUAGUUAUUGCCCUCCUGCUGUCCGGACUUCUACAAAAUGUCAGUGUUAUUGCAACCAUAUUAGUUUUUGUGAAGUUGAAUGAUCUAGAAAUCAGAAUAAGAUUUUAUCUUUCCAUUGCUAAACAACUUUUUGUGUGAAAUCAGAAUUCAUACCACAACUUUCUGUGUCUAGAAGUGGAGCUAUACUUGUUCCCUGAAUUCUGCAGUAAAGCAAACAUGUGGAUCUGCUUGAAUUAAGUCUAACUGAACCUAGCAAUAGACCCUUGCAUCUAAUUAUUAAUUGUCAGUAAAAGAAGGUGGUUUACCUGCACUUUUACUGAGCUAUGUAGCAAAAGCAUCAGCUUAAUGUGAGACAUGCAUGCGGUUAGCUGCAGUUUAAGUUUUGUAGUUCAGUUAUUUAGGUGCGGCUAGUUUUCUUGUCAGCUUCUUGCGUCUUAAUUACCACAUAGAGGCAGUGCUACAUGGUGAACAUACACAAUGUUAUAUGGUGCACACACAAAUGCAAGGUGUGUGAAUUAGUUACAGAUAUGGUUUCUUAUCUUGCUUAUGGGAUCUUGUCGUCUAAUAAGAUUUCUGAUAAUCAUGUUUGUCAGAGUGGUUAUUAUUCCAAAUUUGUAAUAAGAUUUUUAAACUUUUCCUCAUGUAGAAAGUAAGCUACAUGUACACACUUGUUAACAUCUCUAAGCAUGAAAGCAGUGUAUGGCAAUAAUAAUAUGCAUUUUCAUGUUCUUAUUUCCUUCUUACGAAAUAAUAAGAAAUCCAAUCUAUAACAUACUUUUUAUACAGUAUUUCGGGCCAUAUAUGUAAGACAUGGACGUCAUGCUUUUGAACCAUACAUUGUAUUUUUUUAAUCAUGGUGAUUUGGCCCUCGUAUGCAUUUGUUUGAAUAACAAAAAAUUAGAAGAUCUCUUUGUAUACUAUAUUCUUUGCGCUAUCUUCGCUUGGGCGCUCUGUGUCGUCGAUCAACACCUUUAAUCCUUCUCUGUUUGUGACUCUUGAUAAUGCCACAUAUAGUUGCCCAUGGCAGAAGACUUGCUUAGGCAAAUAUAGGCCCACCUUGUUUAGGGAUUGACCUAUUUAUUGUCAUUGCAAAACAAACUGAUAGAGGAUAUUGCCUUCUUUUCAGCACGAAGGGCCAUUUUGAGUCGCUUGGUGAUAUAAUGAUUUUAGGUAGUAUACCUUGUCACUGACGUGUGUUCCUGUGAUUAUUUGUGCCUCAAUGUACCCGUUUCCCAGCUGUGUGAUAGUCAUUCUUGUGCCAUUGCAUAAACCUGCCGCUUGAUUGAUGUUUCGUAGGAGCAUCACCGGCUAACCUACCUUCAGUUUUAGCUGAUGGUUUGGAAUUCCUUGGAAGGUCAUGUUGUUAAGGAACUCCGUUGGACACAUAUUCUCCAUUGUGUUGUACUUCAUUGUUGCCUUGCAUAGUGUCCAAGCUUAGGUAUGUCACCUUUUCACCUUGUAUUUGGCUCAUUAUGUAGUCAUUUAUCUUCUCAACUGUUUCAUUCCUUGGGCACAUUAUUGCUCUUUCUUCAAGAAAUUCACGAUCACGAUAGUUUUGUUGCAAGUUUGGGUACGAGCUUUUGACUAUCUCUUCUUUGGGGUCUUCUCCUUUAUGUAGAAUUAUGUCUUUAGGUAUUCUUACCCAAUCAUCUCCUUCAUCAUUUGUUUUUUUUUUCCAUCGCCAAUUUGUAAUAUCCAUACUGCAAAUUCAGCCACAUUUUGCCUUUGUAUUGGAUCUUCUGACAGGCACUUCAGCCGCAUGUUUUGAGUUAUUCUAAAUAUUUCGAAGUGCUUCCAUAGGUAUGACCUUUUGAUUGAGGCAUUUACUAUGUGCUCUCUCUUUCCCUUUGUUAUCACUGGAAGUAUUUGUAUGAAGUCGCCUCCUAGCACAACUGUCAUGCCACCAAAUGGCCUUUCGUCACUAUUUUGGUUUGUGAACCUUAGAAUAUCCUUAAGGCUUUUGUCUAGUGCCUCGAAGCAGUGUUUGUUUGCCAUAGGAGCCUCGUCCCACAGUAUAAGUGAGGUCUUCUUUACCAGUUCAGCCAAAUAUGAGCCUUGUUUUAUUUCACAUGUUGAUUCUUCUGUGAUAUUUAUUGGAAUGUGGAAUCUUGAGUGCGCUGUUCUUCCACCUUGGAGCAGCAAAGCUGCAAUGCCAGAUGAUGCUACCGCAAGCACUAUCUUUCCCUCUGAUCGUAGCUUUGUUGUAAUUGCCUUCCAUAGGUAGGUUUUUCCUGUGCCACCGUAGCCUUCUACAAAUAUCUGUUUUCCAAGUCCUCUCUCAGCUGAUUCUAUUAUUGCAUCAAAAGCCAUUUUCUGGCCAUGGUUAAGAUUGCGUAUUAUUGUUUGGUGCUCACUCUUUAGUGCCUCCAUGUCAUAGCUAAGUUCUUCGUCUAUCAUUCUGUUCCCAAGUUGUUCAAGUUCUAUAGCAUUUGAUAGUUCUAUGUCUGGAUAGUCCUUUAGUGUCUUUCCUGCUUGCCUCAUUAGUUUCUCUAUCUCGAUCAGAGCAUAUGUUUUUUCUGUGAAUCAGUGAGCUUUAGCGUAGGAAAGUUUAGGAUGGUUCUUCUUUUGUACUGGAUAUCUUCAGACAGUGCCUCCCAUCUUGAAUCCCACAACAUCUUUGGGCUGGUCACCUCACAAUGGCAUAAAAUUGUGGUAAAUAGUUGUCGUAAUUGUGUCCCUGAUCCCCAGCUUGAUGCUUCAUUGAUGCAUUCAACCCAUUCACUGUCGUCAUCAAGAAAUCCAAGCGCUUGGCAUGCUGAUUUGUAUGUUGGGUGAACAACUCCAUUAACUGUUCUAAUAUCCUCAAAUGAUGUGCAUCCUUUCUUGGUGUUUAGAAGCAUUCUCAUAUAAUACCGGUCGCCACUUGCAGGGUGUGCAUAGUAGAUUCUUCCAAUUGCAAAGCCCCUUUUCCGCUCCUCCCAAGUUUUGCUUUCGCUUUUCCAUACAAAUUUUGAUGGGAAUUCUGCAUAGGUUAAUUCUUUUCCCACCUCAUAUAUUUUGUUUGCCUCCAUCCACUCUGUGAACUUAGUAUUGUGGAUCCUAGUCUUCUUACUAUCUUCUCAAUGUCGGUCGAGUCCGGAAAAAUAAUUUGUUGCUCAUUUUCAAUGUGGAAUGGCAGUCUCUCGACUGGUGGAUCACGAUGGUGUAGAUCAAACUGGAAUAUCCGCCAGCAUGCUUCGGUUGUUAUGAUGCUGACCACAUGGGGGAGGUUUAGUUUAAUUUCAGACAUGCAUAUGCAUAUGCACUUGCUCUGGCAUUAGGAUUUCAAUCUCGCGGAUAUAUGAAGGUUGUGGGUUCUUUUUUGUUAUUCUUGUCUCCACUGGCUUCAUUUGAGUUAGUAGUCCAAUAACAUCUGUAUAUUUGGAGAUUAGUGAUAUAACAGUUAGAAAUAUAAAUUAUUUGGAGGUUGUAAUUACAACUAUAAACAUACCUGAGCAUUGUGUAUCUUUUUCUGCCCUUUCUUCUAGUGUAUCCAUGGUAGCAAACUCGAAGCAAUAGUCUGGGAAAACUUCCGAAGAUCCUUUUAUCUCCUUUACCUUUGUAUUGUACGCAAAAUAUAUUUUAAUUUCAUUGCUCACAGGCCUAUAUUUUGUGGAUUCCACAACCUUAAAAUUGCUGAAUGCAUAAAUAUAUUUUUCAUUGAUCUUUGAUCUAAAAGUGUCGAUAAGAUUCUUCCAGAUAGUAGCAUGGAUUGUUUCACCCUGUCAAAAAAUCAAAUAUGGUUAGUAACUUGCUUCAUCUGACAGAAAAAUUCGAAGUUAAUAUAUUAGAAAAGAGGCCUGCUCAUCCAUCAGUAUCAUAUCUAGGCUAAUAAGCUCAUCGGUCGUAGGAUUCACUGAAUCCUACAUUCUCAUUACUUUCACUUGAAUGUUCCAGUUCUGUCCCCUUGUAGUUAAGUUGCUCAACUUCUUGUAUGCCAUAUUCUUAUGUCUUCAAAGUUAACAGGGAACAAUUUAUCAAUUGAUAUAGUAUUUAUGAAGAUUCUAUCCAGAAAAAGUAAAGCUUGUGAAAUAACAAUUACCAAAUCUAAUGAUUCAGGCCAGAAGUGCUUUGGUGUAAAUUCUUCUGACGUUGAUUGGAGCAGUUGGGCUUCGCUUCGUCGGGCGUUCAGCGUGGUUUGGCGUGGCUUUGUCGGACGUUGAGUGAAGCAGCUGGGGGUGGCUUUUUCGCCUGGACCUCGAGUCGCGUCUGGCGUAUUCGAGUCAUCGUGGUUGCCGGCUUGUAAUUGUUCGGUGUGUACUUGUGCGGCCGUCUGUACUUGUUUACUUGUACAUGUAUAUAUAUAUUCUUAUGUAACGCUUGCAUCUUUUAAUCUCAGCCGUUAAUAGAUAAAUUUAACGAUUAAGAUAAUUUAAUCUAUGUGGACGCACGUGAUGGCUUGUUUGCCUAUUGUUUUAAUUAAAUAAUAAUAGAUAGACGCAUCAAAUUAGUCAUGCAACUUGGGAAGAUCAAGAACGCACAAAAAAAGUAAUGAACAGAGGCUCGGAGUAGUGAUGUAAUAGUUAGCAUCAGAAAAUGUAGGGUAAAACAAACUUAGCAUCAGAAAAUGUAGGGUAAAACAAACAAAAAGCAAUAAAAUCACAUGCUAGUUUGCUGAUGUGUAAUUAAGCAUAGAGAAC